Long non-coding RNA from Nerophis ophidion (straightnose pipefish), 1948 nucleotides. RefSeq lists it as uncharacterized. The record is from RefSeq and is a predicted model, not a curated record. The transcript is spliced from 4 exons. Lineage: Eukaryota; Metazoa; Chordata; Actinopteri; Syngnathiformes; Syngnathidae.
UCCACGUUAUUUUCGUCACACAGCAUUCAUCCAAUCAAAUUGCAGGAAAACCAACGAAGAAGAGCUCUCAAACAACGCGCCAGUGAGGAAAAAUUAUGCUAAAAAUAGUUUCGUCCGGGUAUUGAAACUACGACUUGGUCAACAAAAAACAAAUUGCCGUAUGCAAGACAUGCGGUUCGAAGAUUACAGACAGGGACGCACCAACUUCCAAUUUCGUUCGACAUUUGAAGCUGCACAAAGGGAGUCAGGGCAGAGGAGCACAGAAAGUGAGAGGGGAGAGGCCUCUACUGGAAAGGCCCGUUCCAGCUCAGGGACGGACAAAGUGAGGGUGAAGGAGCCAUCAGACUCUGACCUGACAACACGGGCUUCAAAACGAGAGGAGGGGGCGUUGGCGCCUAUCUCAGCUACAAUCGGGCGGAAGGCGGCGUACACCCUGGACAAGUCGCCAUCUCAUCGCAGGGCCAAUCAAUCAAUCAAUCAUCCAUCCAUCCAUUUUCUACCGCUUAUUCCCUUUUGGAGUUGCAGGGGGCGUUGGCGCCUAUCUCAGCUACAAUCGGGCGGAAGGCAGGGUACACCCUGGACAAGUCUCCACCUCAUCGCAGGGCCAACACAGAUAGACAGACAACAUUCACACUCACAUUCACACACUAGGGCCAAUUUAGUGUUGCCAAUCAACCUAUCCCCAGGUGCAUGUCUUUGGAAGUGGGAGGAAGCCGGAGUACCCGGAGGGAACCCACGCAUUCACGGGGAGAACAUGCAAACUCCACACAGAAAGAUCCCGAGCCUGGAUUUGAACCCAGGACUGCAGGAACUUCGUAUUGUGAGGCAGACGCACUAACCCCUCUGCCACCGUGAAGCCUAUCAAUCAAUCAAUCAAUGUUAAUUUAUAUAGCCCUAUUAGCCUAUUAUCCAUUUUCUACCCAUCCAUCCAUUUUCUCCCCUUUCUCCCUUAAUGGUGUCGCUGGGGGUGCCAGAGCCUAUCUCAGCUGCAUUCGGGCGGGAGGCAUGGUACACCCUGGAGAAAUCGCCACCUCAUUGCGGGGGCCAACACAGCAUUCACACUCUCAUUCAUACACUAGGGCCAAUUUGGUGUUGCCAAUCAACCUAUCCCCAGGUGCAUGUCUUUGGAAGUGGGAGGAAGCCGGAGUACCCGGAGGGAACCCACGCAUUCACGGGGAGAACAUGCAAACUCCACACAGAAAGAUCCCGAGCCUGGAUUUGAACCCAGGACUGCAGGAACUUCGUAUUGUGAGGCAGACGCACUAACCCCUCUGCCACCGUGAAGCCUAUCAAUCAAUCAAUCAAUGUUAAUUUAUAUAGCCCUAUUAGCCUAUUAUCCAUUUUCUACCCAUCCAUCCAUUUUCUCCCCUUUCUCCCUUAAUGGUGUCGCUGGGGGUGCCAGAGCCUAUCUCAGCUGCAUUCGGGCGGGAGGCAUGGUACACCCUGGAGAAAUCGCCACCUCAUUGCGGGGGCCAACACAGCAUUCACACUCUCAUUCAUACACUAGGGCCAAUUUGGUGUUGCCAAUCAACCUAUUCUCAGGUGCAUGUUUUUGGAGGUGGGAGGAAGCCGGAGUACCCGGAGGGAACCCAUGCAGUCACAGGUAGAACAUGCAAACUCCACACAGAAAGAUCAAACCCAGAACUUUCGUAUUGUGAGGCAAAUUUGUUAUAUUUAGUACCAUCUUAUGCCCUCCUUCAGUGUUGGUUCAUUUCCCAUUGUAAUGUUUAAGUGUUCUGUUGCUUUGUGAUUUCCUGCUAGACCUCUGUUAGUUUUAUUCUGCCUGGUACCUAAUUAAACAACCUUCUGCUUACCUUCUCUGCAUACUUGAACAUGCCAACGGCAGACAUGUGGCAUCAUGACAAUCAAGUGUCCAAGCAAAGAAUACGAAGCGUUGGUGAAGAACAUAGUGGUAGUUUUAGAGUUGGGACACUGUAGACUGAUUCCA